Molecule: ribosomal RNA, 396 nt
Filed under: uncultured bacterium
Lineage: Bacteria
Description: partial 16S ribosomal RNA
Rfam family: Bacterial small subunit ribosomal RNA
Source: RNAcentral
CUACGUAGGGGGCGAGCGUUGUCCGGAAUGAUUGGGCGUAAAGGGCGCGUAGGCGGCCCGGUAAGUCUGGAGUGAAAGUCCUGUUUUUAAGAUGGGAAUUGCUUUGGAUACUGUCGGGCUUGAGUGCAGGAGAGGUUAUCGGAAUUCCCGGUGUAGCGGUGAAAUGCGUAGAGAUCGGGAGGAACACCAGUGGCGAAGGCGGGUAACUGGACUGCAACUGACGCUGAGGCGCGAAAGUGUGGGGAGCAAACAGGAUUAGAUACCCUGGUAGUCCACACUAUAAACGAUGAAUGCUAGGUGUAAGAGGUAUCGACCCCUUUGUGCCGGAGUCAACACAAUAAGCAUUCCGCCUGGGGAGUACGGCCGCAAGGUUGAAACUCAAAGGAAUUGACGGGG